UACGGAAGGUCCGGGCGUUAUCCGGAUUUAUUGGGUUUAAAGGGAGCGCAGGCGGGACCUUAAGCGUGUUGUGAAAUGUACCGGCUCAACCGGUGAUGUGCAGCGCGAACUGGGGUUCUUGAGUGGGUACGACGUCGGCGGAAUUCGUGGUGUAGCGGUGAAAUGCUUAGAUAUCACGAGGAACCCCGAUUGCGAAGGCAGCCGACGAGUCCCUUACUGACGCUAAUGCUCGAAAGUGCGGGUAU
This 245-nucleotide ribosomal RNA is filed under the name uncultured Prevotella sp. RNAcentral's name for it is "partial 16S ribosomal RNA". It matches the Rfam family "Bacterial small subunit ribosomal RNA", at positions 524 to 768 of the family's 1533-position model. The record is from RNAcentral. Lineage: Bacteria; Pseudomonadati; Bacteroidota; Bacteroidia; Bacteroidales; Prevotellaceae.